Myotis myotis is the source of this 482-nucleotide long non-coding RNA. RefSeq lists it as uncharacterized. The record is from RefSeq and is a predicted model, not a curated record. The transcript has 3 exons. Lineage: Eukaryota; Metazoa; Chordata; Mammalia; Chiroptera; Vespertilionidae.
GUUUCAGGAUAGGAAAGGGCCUUAUCUCUCCCCCUCCCCCUCCUGCUCAUGCAGGGGGGUUCUUGGAGUACCACCAGAAGGAGCAUUUCCGGAGGCCCCAGCGGGAGGAUGAGCUAUAGAGUCAAUGUUUGGGGUGACUGAAGAAUUAACCUCUGAUUCAGCUGCUGGCAACAGGUGAAAAUAUUUUUAAAGAAGUUGAGAAAACUCCAAUCAAUAUUCCUAAGGUGAAAUCAGCUAUGAUGUGUUACAGCCUAUGUAAGCAGAAACAGGCUCAUUUUGACAGAUUUCCACUUGUGAAAAUGAAUGAAUUGUGACUUAAAUCUUUUGUCCAAAGCAGAUUAUUAUCGUUUGAAACUUUUGACCGUGGAAAAGUAAUUACAAGAGUAUAUGACAACAUAGAGACUAUUCCCCUACCCAGCUUCAACCAUUAUCUGCUCCUGGUCAGUCUCUUUUCAUCCAGGCCCUUACCGACUGGACCUUCU